GUGCUCACUUCGGCAGAACAUAUACUAAAAUUGGGAUAAUACCGAGAAGAUUAGCAUGGCCCCUGUAAAAGGAUGACAUGCAAAUUCAUGUAACAUUCCGUAUUUUU
Psammomys obesus (fat sand rat) is the source of this 107-nucleotide small nuclear RNA. Lineage: Eukaryota; Metazoa; Chordata; Mammalia; Rodentia; Muridae. The record is from RefSeq and is a predicted model, not a curated record.